UUUCCGAAGUCAACUUUUUGUUAGUUGUAUGUUUUAAUCAGAGUUAUUUGUUUUACUGAAAACUUAGAGAGUGUUUGGUUCUCCGUAAAACCGUGAAAAAUGAUUUAAUCAACUAAUUGCUGCUGUGAAAAUGAUGCGAUAUUUUAAUUAUUUUCUCGUCAUCAAUUAGGAUAUUACUAUAUCACUUCCACAUUAAAGAUAUGUUAAUAUUUAGUCAACUACAUCGACUGUCUCUAGAGCAAGUGACAAAGGAUUUGGUGGUUGGUACCGGAGAUUUAAAUUCGAAUCCUAAUUGAUUCACAUUUCUAGCUAAGUUUAUUUCUAAAUGAAACAAACGAAGCAGGUAGCGUGCUACCUAUCCCUCUAAAAAAAAA
Molecule: long non-coding RNA, 374 nt
Filed under: Ananas comosus (pineapple)
Lineage: Eukaryota; Viridiplantae; Streptophyta; Magnoliopsida; Poales; Bromeliaceae
Description: long non-coding RNA (ACOM_LNC030050)
Source: RNAcentral